AUUGAACGCUGGCGGCAGGCCUAACACAUGCAAGUCGAGCGGAUGAAGGGAGCUUGCUCCUGGAUUCAGCGGCGGACGGGUGAGUAAUGCCUAGGAAUCUGCCUGGUAGUGGGGGAUAACGUCCGGAAACGGGCGCUAAUACCGCAUACGUCCUGAGGGAGAAAGAGGGGGUUCUUGGGACCUCACGCUAUCAGAUGAGCCUAGGUCGGAUUCGCUAGUUGGUGGGGGAAAGGCCUACCAAGGCGACGAUCCGUAACUGGUCUGAGAGGAUGAUCAGUCACAGGGGAACUGAGACACGGUCCAGACUCCUACGGGAGGCAGAAGUGGGGAAUAUUGGACAAUGGGCGAAAGCCUGAUCCAGCCAUGCCGCGUGUGUGAAGAAGGUCUUCGGAUUGUAAAGCACUUUAAGUUGGGAGGAAGGGCAGUAAGUUAAUACCUUGCUGUUUUGACGUUACCAACAGAAUAAGCACCGGCUAACUUCGUG
This 484-nucleotide ribosomal RNA is filed under the name uncultured bacterium. Its description in RNAcentral is "partial 16S ribosomal RNA". It matches the Rfam family "Bacterial small subunit ribosomal RNA", at positions 30 to 507 of the family's 1533-position model. The record is from RNAcentral.